RNAcentral lists this long non-coding RNA (299 nucleotides) under Mytilus galloprovincialis (Mediterranean mussel). The record is from RNAcentral. Lineage: Eukaryota; Metazoa; Mollusca; Bivalvia; Mytilida; Mytilidae.
UUUCGAUGAUAUCCACUCGGUACUUAUACAUCCCGUCAAUAAGUUGUUUGUUUUGUCUGUUAUUUUUGCUGGUGUGUUUAGUUCGUGCGACUUUUUGUGGGUUUUUUUUGGUACAUAUGACGUCGUUCUGUACUUUUAAACAUCCCGAGAUUAUGUUAUUGUUCUAUUUUAAUGACAUUAUGUUAUUGUUCAAUUAUAAUUUUGAAAAUACUUUGAACGACAAAACUUUUCGAUCCUCGAGUUUGACUGUCCUCUGCUAUCUUUCUAUCUUUAAAAAGUGAAAUAACAUAAAUAUCGAA